Molecule: transfer RNA, 79 nt
Organism: Rhodotorula graminis WP1
Lineage: Eukaryota; Fungi; Basidiomycota; Microbotryomycetes; Sporidiobolales; Sporidiobolaceae
Rfam family: tRNA
About the family: Transfer RNA (tRNA) molecules are approximately 80 nucleotides in length.
Source: Rfam
GGGGAUCUAGCUCAUCGGUAGAGCGCUCGCUUAGCACCUCGUGUGCGAGAGGCGCAGGGUUCGACUCCCUGGUUCUCCA